UCUGGGAAUGAAUGCUUCUGUUUAUCUGGGGUGGUCUCUGGAUGCAUUGGUGCUGGGUUCCUGUAAAGUGUACGUAGGAAAGAGAAAGAAGACAUCUCAGAAAAGGAAGGAAAAAAAUAAGAAAUCCCCGGACACCUCCAUCCAUGAGCCGCUUAUUAGCCUUCUCCUCCGGAUCACUCAUUUUUAGAAAGAAAAACGAGAAAAAAAAGGCAGAAUGUUGGAAGGAAAGGCAAUGAUCCAGGACACAGAUAUGCCACUGAAGAUGCAGCUGCAAGCCAUGUCUUGUGCCUCUGUAGCUCUUGACCUCUUUGAUGUUCUUGACUGCAAGAGCAUAGCUGCUCACAUCAAGAAGGAGUUUGAUCUAAGUUAUGGACCUGGAUGGCAGUGCGUGGUGGGUUCCAACUUUGGUUGUUUCUUCACCCACACAAGGGGCACCUUCAUCUACUUCUGCCUGGAAACUCUCAACUUUCUCAUCUUCAAGGGAGCUGCUGGUGGUGGUGGUGGUUAGUUAGGGUUGGAAGUUCAAAAGUAAUAAAGCUGUGAUCUCCUCCCUCAAGUCUCACAUGUUAUCUGUGGAAAUUUAGAUGUUGUUCCUGUACAAAUACUAGGCAAGGUUUCACUCUUCUUUUUCAGAUCCAACAAACUUCUUCCCAUGUUAUUGAAAGGCAUGCUUGUGCAAACAAACACCAACUGGGGAUAGAAGUGGCUUGUUCAUCACAUUUGCUUCCAGGUUUCCAAGGAUCAGAUCUGCCAUUGCAUAUAAAAAUUGGGAUUUUUAGGCGGCAGCGGACGUCGCCUAGCCCCAGCGAACAGCCGCCCUCCGCUUACGGACGGAUAAGGCAUGCGCCACCUUCCCUGCCCUACCCAAGGCCUCCACGUCGCCCCACCGCUAUUUUCCAAAGCUGGCGCCGCCCUCCACCGGCCUUUCCCUUCCUAUCCUGAGCCACUAACACCGCCGUCCACACCGACUCCAUUCUCCCCCCUUUGCGUGACCGCCACCGCUGCUUCGAUCUCCUCUCGGCCGCCAUCCUCCACCAACACCGCCACCGCUGCUGUAGCCGCCCGACCACUGCCCACCCACUGGCACCACCCCGGCCGCCCAUUUCUACGAUCGCCGUAACCCUCAACGAUAUUCGUUUUCCCCUUCCCUCUUUAGAAAAGCAAACCUACCUAUUAUCUAAGUUUUAUUUUAAUUUUUAUAAAAAAAAACUAUUUUUUAUUGCCCCGGGCUAUGGUAUAAGCAGCGGGACGGAUUCCCCGGUAACGAUGGUACUUGUGAGUCGUGACGCUAGCCGUCUGAUCGGGCCCAUCCGCUUCCCGAUAAAGAAUCUCAAUUUUGAGAUAUUAUUAACUUGUUAUACCAUAAUUUUAGAUGCUAUAAACGUGUCUUCCACAUAAAUUUACCAGUUCUAUUAAUAGUUAAUAGUCAUUCUUAAGUUAUCAAUUUUGAAUUGGCAUGAAGAUAGAUUGACAGAGUUAUUGAGAUGAGCGGAUCGUCUUUUAUAAUAUUUUAGAUAUUAUAAAAAUUUUCACGGUACUAACUGAGUUAGUAUUUGAGUAUGAAAUUAUCAUAAUAGAUUUUGGAUUUAAAUAGCGGGAUUUGUCCUGUUAGGUUCUUUCACUUAGGAGGUCGUUUGAUUGGACGAAUGAUUUUCAUGAUUUAUUUUCUUUCAUUAUAUUUGGAAUAGUUUUGGAGAGGCUAUGAACGAGGAUUCUAACUUUUUGUCAUAAUUUUAAAUGUCAUAAAAGCCUUCCGGAUUGAUCAUGUCCGAAGGCGUGAAGCUGGAAAAUCGAAGAUGUGGUAGUUUCGUUGAUUGGAUGAAGACCUCGCUCCUCUCUGCAAAACAAAAUCAAAUCAGGGAAGAGGUCUUAGCUUUGGUCCUCCGAUGCUCAAGUCAGAAAUAGAAGAAGACGGGAGAGUGAAAGUACUAGGGACAGAAAUUUAUCUUACCUUUUUUCAUACUUGGCACUUUUUUAUACCUUUCUUAGUGGCAUUUCCUCUUCCCCUGUUUAAUGUUAUUAAUUACCAA
Zingiber officinale is the source of this 2030-nucleotide RNA transcript. It is a transcript of the gene named dynein light chain LC6, flagellar outer arm-like, with no coding region annotated. The record is from RefSeq and is a predicted model, not a curated record. The transcript has 3 exons. NCBI's taxonomy places the organism in Eukaryota, Viridiplantae, Streptophyta, Magnoliopsida, Zingiberales, Zingiberaceae.